RNAcentral lists this unclassified non-coding RNA (3694 nucleotides) under Apis dorsata (giant honeybee). RNAcentral's name for it is "lethal(2) giant larvae protein homolog 1, transcript variant X5". Lineage: Eukaryota; Metazoa; Arthropoda; Insecta; Hymenoptera; Apidae. The record is from RNAcentral.
AUGAUUGGUGGAAAGCCGACGCGACGGCAAAAGACAUGUCGCACCGCUCGAGGAAGAGACAACGCCGACAGAGAUGUUGAAGUUUAUCAGAGGGAAGGGCCAACAACCUACGGCCGAGCGACAGAAACUACAAAAGGAUCUUUUUGCCUUUCGAAAGACGGUGCAACAUGGAUUCCCAAAUAAACCCACAGCCCUCGCAUGGGAUCCGAGUUUGCGGUUGAUGAUCAUUGGCACGGCAUCCGGCGCCAUUAAGGUAUUCGGUAGGCCAGGUGUGGAAUUCUAUGGACAACACACUAUUGAAAGUGGAGAGAAUGCUGUCACGAAGAUUGUCGCUCUGCCCAACGAGGGACGCGUCGUUUCUCUCUGUGACGAUAACUCUCUUCAUUUGUGGGAGAUUAACGAGAGUUCAGUCGUGGAAACCAAAUCGCUUUCGUUGGAAGGUAAAUUGAAGAAAAUCUCGGCGAUGUGUCUUGAGUCGAGCGGCGAACACUUACUUCUGGGAACCGAGGGCGGAAACAUUUAUCUUUUAAACCUGAAAACAUUUGUGGUGCCUGACAACAUCAUUUACCAGGAUGUCGUAAUGCAAAACGUCCCAGAUGAUUAUAAGAAGAAUCCAGGAGCAGUCGAGGCGAUAGCGGAACAACCAGGUCAUCCAGACAAUAUUCUGAUAGGUUACAAUCGUGGCUUAAUGGUUUUGUGGAACAAAGCGACUCCUGGAGCCCAACAGCUGAUGGGUUUGUUUUCGCGUACGCAGACAUUCGUCUCCACGCAACAACUGGAAUCUGUCCAUUGGGUCUCCGAGACCCGUUUUGUUUCCUCCCACAACGAUGGAUCCUAUGCAUUUUGGAGCGAUAGUAGCGAUAGCAUGCUGGAGUCGACCACAUUGUAUGGACCGUUUCCGUGUAAAGCUAUCACUAAAAUUCUCGUCUAUCCAACCGCAGAGCUUAAAGAACUGGUCUUAUUUUCGGGUGGAAUGCAACGCGCGAGUUACGGCGAUCGUCAUACAAUUACUGUUAUGGUUAAAGGAAAACAUGUCGUUUUUGAUUUCACAUCAAAGGUGAUUGAUUUCUUCACUGUAUUUUCUAAGGAAGAGGAUGGAAAAGAUAUUCCUGCUAGUCCAGAAGCGCUUAUAGUAUUGGCUGAAGAAGAGAUAGUGGCUAUUGAUUUGACUAAUUCUGAAUGGAAAAUGAUGGCAUUACCUUAUUUAGUAUCUCUCCAUGCAAGUGCGGUCACUUGUUCACAACAUGUCCCAAAUGUUCCUGAAGAAUUGUGGGAUAAUAUAAUUGCAGCUGGAAAAGCACAAACAGAACAUCUAUAUUCGGAUAAACCAUGGCCUAUAGACGGUGGAAUUAUUCUUAAUCAAAAAUCGGGAAAUGAUAAACCAAAAACCAGAGAAUUGUUGCUUACCGGUCACGAAGAUGGCACCGUGAGAUUCUGGAAUGCGUCUGAUGUUGCUUUAACACCUCUUUAUAAAUAUAACACAUCCAUUCUGUUUACCGGUGAACAUCUAGAUGUUCUUGAACAACCACCAGAGGAUGAUGAGGAUGAGUGGCCACCAUUUAGAAAAGUUGGAACCUUUGAUCCAUAUUCUGAUGAUCCAAGACUUGCAGUGAAAAAAGUUUUACUUUGUCCUCUGUCAUCGACGUUAGUGGUUGCUGGUACAGCUGGUCACAUAAUUACAGCUACCAUAUCAUCUGAACCUGUGAACAAAGAGAUCAAAGCUAUCACGAUGAAUAUUGUGAACGAUCGUGAUGGAUUUGUUUGGAAAGGUCAUGAUCAUCUUCCAGCGAGAACAACCAGUAUAUCUUUCGCAGUUGGUUUUCAACCACAAAGUCUUCUUCAAUUAUAUCCACCAGCUGCGGUUACAGCAUUGGCUAUACACAGUGAAUGGGGAUUACUUGCAGCAGGCACAGCUCAUGGUUUAGCUGUUUUUGAUUAUACAAGAGGAAAGGCUGUUAAUGUAAAAUGUACACUUAAUCCAAAUGAUCUUUCUGGAGCCAGUGAUACACCAAUUUCUAGAAGAAAAUCAUUCAAGAAAUCAUUGAGAGAAUCUUUCAGAAGAUUAAGGAAAGGAAGAUCACAACGACGAACAAAUGCUAAUAGUCCAACCAGAAAUACGACAUCGGAAAAAAAGAAAGAAACGCCUAGUGUUGCUUCUUCGCCAAGUGGCGAUCUUUCACCAGUAGAAUUGAAACCUGUGGAAAGACAAGUAGAAGCAAGACCUGUAGAUGAUGCGUUGGGAUCAAUGGUUCGAUGUUUAUAUUUUGCUAGAAGUUAUAUUAUAAGCAUGCAAAACACAACGCCUACGCUUUGGGCAGGUACCAAUAACGGUACAGUUUAUGUGUUCACAUUAGCAAUUCCUGCAGGCGUUAGAAGAACAGAAGAAGAUGUAAAUUGUACAUUAGGAAAAGAGAUUCAAUUAAAACAUAGAGCACCUGUAAUUGCAAUCACAAUUCUCGAUGGAUCUAGUGUACCAUUACCAGAACCAUUCGAAGCCGAAAAAGGCGUGAGUCCUGGUCCUGAUAUGGCAUCACCACAUAGAGUUGUAAUUGCUAGCGAAGAACAAUUCAAAAUCUUCAAUCUUCCAUCCUUGAAACCAUAUUGUAAAUACAAACUUACUGCACAUGAAGGUUCACGAGUAAGAAAAACAGGUUUUGCAAAAUUCACAUGCCCAAUGGAACCUGCGGGAACACAUGAAGAAACUUGUUUGUUAUGUUUGACCAAUCUUGGAGAUUGUUUAGUGCUCAGUAUUCCAGAAUUGAGAAGACAGCUUAAUGCUGCUGCUAUUAAGAAAGAAGACAUUAAUGGAAUUUCUUCGUUAACAUUCACAAAAGCUGGCGAAGCAUUAUAUCUAUAUUCAAGUUCGGAACUGCAACGAAUUUCAUUGUCGGCUAAUAAAGUGACAAAAGCAAACUGUGCGUUAAAUUUACCACCAAAUGCUAGAUCAUUUCCUGAAACUAAUAACGAAGAUACUCAAGAGGAAGGAAUAAUUGAAGGUACACCUGAAACGGAAGGUGAAACAACCCAGGGAAGUCAAUCAGUUACAAUGCAAAGGAUUACAGAGAAUGGUGUAGUGGGUUCUAUAACAGUUCACUUUUCAGAAAUGCAACGUCUUCCGAAGAACUUCACAAUCGUCUUGCAGGACUUAAAAUGGAGGUGACUUCACGAACUUCGGAAAUCUCUACUCAAAAUCAAUCGCUAGUUUUAAAGACUACUACCGUUGUUUCGCAAACAACCAACAAUACUACUGCUAAUGGAGAGAUCGAAACAAGUCAAACAAAUGAAACUCAACAAGUGAACAGCACUACAGUAGAAAGAGAGAUUCGCAGCGGUACUGAAACUACAACAACACAUGCUACAAUUACUCUACCUUCAAACGUCGAGGUCAUCAAACGGCACUGACAAUGAAAAUAUUGUGUUAAUUAGUAUCGGAUCUUACUUCAAUGCUAAGCCUAUACUCCGCGAUCCAAAUGAAAGAUUUAUGAAUUUUUAGUGUUUCUUAAAAAUCGUGCAAUAUACAGAAAUUCUGUACUCAUUCAUAUAAAAACUACCUCUCUUUUAAUAAUAUAAAAAAAGGACGACAAUUAAUAAUAUUAUUUUUUUAAAACUUUUAAAAAAUAAUGUUUUUACAAAAUUUGGGUGUGACGAAAUGAUAGGAGGGUAUCUUUAGAAAGAAAUAAAAAUUUUAUCAAGA